RNAcentral lists this ribosomal RNA (305 nucleotides) under uncultured bacterium. RNAcentral describes it as "bacterial SSU rRNA". It matches the Rfam family "Bacterial small subunit ribosomal RNA", at positions 334 to 636 of the family's 1533-position model. The record is from RNAcentral.
GACUACCUACGGGAGGCAGCAGUGAGGAAUAUUGGUCAAUGGGAGAGAUCCUGAACCAGCCACGCCGCGUGAGGGAAGACGGCCCUAUGGGUUGUAAACCUCUUUUGUCGGAGAACAAAACCCGGGACGUGUCCCGGACUGUGUGUAUCCGAAGAAAAAGCAUCGGCUAACUCCGUGCCAGCAGCCGCGGUAAUACGGAGGAUGCGAGCGUUAUCCGGAUUUAUUGGGUUUAAAGGGUGCGUAGGCGGUCUGUUAAGUCAGCGGUAAGAUUGCGGGGCUCAACCCCGUCGAGCCGUUGAAACUGG